Molecule: long non-coding RNA, 336 nt
Organism: Homalodisca vitripennis (glassy-winged sharpshooter)
Lineage: Eukaryota; Metazoa; Arthropoda; Insecta; Hemiptera; Cicadellidae
Exons: 3
Source: RefSeq, a predicted model, not a curated record
AAGCGGAGGAAAACGAGUGGGCCAAUCCUUGCCGGAGAGUUGUUCGGUAGUGUAUUUUGGAAAAGCCGGGAUGUUACUUUUAGUUGGCGCCCUCUUCGCCCUUUUUUCGGCAGCACACGGCCAGUUGAACCCCCUCGGAAGGUUUGGUAAAUGUAAAGAUGUGGCUACGAUCAGGGGACUGUGAUAUGGAAGGAACAAGGUACCUACAGUACCGUCCUGACAACCCGGACCACUAUGUCCACACAUGCCAGGCCACCUACGAACAGGUGGUUCAGGGAGACCUAGCUGCACUCCUCUAUUUCUACAAGUAAGUUAACGUAUCAAAGUGAUUUAAUA